GGGAAGGUGGCUCAGUGGUAGAGUGCUUGCCUAGUAUGCAUGAAGCCCUGGGUUCGAUUCCUUAGCAUCACA
RNAcentral lists this transfer RNA (72 nucleotides) under Dipodomys ordii (Ord's kangaroo rat). It matches the Rfam family "tRNA". Rfam says of the family: Transfer RNA (tRNA) molecules are approximately 80 nucleotides in length. Lineage: Eukaryota; Metazoa; Chordata; Mammalia; Rodentia; Heteromyidae. The record is from Rfam by way of RNAcentral.